AACGGGUGGAUUUAUUAGAACAGAACCAACCGUGGGUGGCUUCGGCCUUCCCUGUUGUACUCUGUGAUGACUCUGGAUAACUUUACUGAUCGCAGUCGGCCUUGUGUCGGCGACGGAUCUUUCAAAUGUCUGCCCUAUCAACUUUCGAUGGUAGGUGAUCUGCCUACCAUGGUGAUUACGGGUAACGGGGAAUCAGGGUUCGAUUCCGGAGAGGGAGCCUGAGAAACGGCUACCACAUCCAAGGAAGGCAGCAGGCGCGAAAAUUACCCACUCCCGGCACGGGGAGGUAGUGACGAAAAAUACGAAUACGGGACUCACUCGAGGCUCCGUAAUUCGAAUGAGUACAAUCUAAAUCCUUUAACGAGGACCAAUUGGAGGGCAAGUCUGGUGCCAGCAGCCGCGGUAACUCCAGCUCCAAAAGCGUAUAUUAAAGUUGCUGCAGUUAAAAAGCUCGUAGUUGGAUCUGGGUUGUGCGGUCACGUAAUGUGGCUUGGUCCUGAUUUCGGUCGGGUCCAUGUCAUGAUAAAGUGGUCGUGCAGCCUUUCAGCCGUGUCUGCGUAAGCAGGUGUUGGCUGGUCAGUAAGUUCGCUUGCUGGUCAGUUGGCAUGUUUCCUGAUGCCUUUAAACGGGUGUCGGGGGCGUACGGCACUUUUACUUUGAACAAAUUUGAGUGCUCAAAGCAGGCCCAUGUGCCUGAAAAGUCUUGCAUGGAAUAAUGGAAUAGGACUUCGGUUCUAUUUUGUUGGUUUCCGGAUCCGAAGUAAUGGUUAAGAGGAACAGACGGGGGCAUUUGUAUGGCGGCGUGAGAGGUGAAAUUCUAUGAUCGUCGCCAGACAAACUACAGCGAAAGCAUUUGCCAAGAAUGUUUUCAUUGAUCAGGAGCGAAAGUCAGAGGUUCGAAGACGAUCAGAUACCGUCCUAGUUCUGACCAUAAACGAUGCCAACUGACA
Molecule: ribosomal RNA, 950 nt
Filed under: Diplostomoidea sp. Type XI RS-2020
Lineage: Eukaryota; Metazoa; Platyhelminthes; Trematoda; Diplostomida
Description: SSU rRNA
Rfam family: Eukaryotic small subunit ribosomal RNA
Source: RNAcentral